RNAcentral lists this long non-coding RNA (3275 nucleotides) under Mustela putorius furo (domestic ferret). Its description in RNAcentral is "lncRNA (ENSMPUG00000026109.1)". Lineage: Eukaryota; Metazoa; Chordata; Mammalia; Carnivora; Mustelidae. The record is from RNAcentral.
CUGCUUUCUACCUGUCUACUCAUUUACCUUUUAGACCUAAAACUGAACUGGAAUUGUAUUCUCCUCCUUCUUUCUUUCAAAGUACUGGACAUUCAUUCAGAUUGGACACAACGUUGAAGACCAAGAUGUUUUAUCCUGAAACAACUGUUGAAGGCCAGAAUGCACAGGGGCCUAACCGGACUAAUGAGAGUGUCUUCCCCAAACAAAAGUGAUCUUUCUGCCUCUAUGGCAGUGGAGACCAAGCAAGCUGGCAGUCUUACAGCACUUAUAAGUAACAGUAUACACACUGAAAAACAGUGUGAGUUGUGGAAGUCUGCCCCAGGACUCAUUGAGCAAGUCACAAUACUCGGAAGUGACACAGGCACAUUAUACACUGCUGAGCACUGGAAAUACCUGCAAGCACUUCUGGGAAUACUUCAGAAGCUUCCACCACUGUUCUGUUUUUUUAAUCAGAAAUAUCCUUCCUACUAUAUUGGAUAUAUCUUCAAAACUCUACUCAAGAAUUACUUCUGGUGUGAAGCUGUCCAUGAAUGAGACUACUUGGCUACCUGUGUCUAAUUGUAUUUAGGUAAGUAUAUUUCUUCCUGUUAUCAUUGUUGACUUAUCUGUGUCUUCACAUGUUCAUAUACUUUUUUUAAUUUUUUAUUUUUUAUAAACAUAUAUUUUUAUCCCCAGGGGUACAGGUCUGUGAAUCACCAGGUUUCCACACUUCACAGCACUCACCAAAGCACAUACCCUCCCCAAUGUCCAUAAUCCCACCCCCUUCUCCCAAACCCCCCCCCCCAGCAACCCUCAGUUUGUUUUGUGAGAUUAAGAGUCAUUUAUGGUUUGUCUCCCUCCCAAUCCCAUCUUCUUUCAUUGAUUCUUCUCCUACCCACUUAAGCCCCCAUGUUGCAUCACCACUUCCUCAUAUCAGGGAGAUCAUAUGAUAGUUGUCUUUCUCUGCUUGACUUAUUUCGCUAAGCAUGAUACGCUCUAGUUCCAUCCAUGUUGUCGCAAAUGGCAAGAUUUCAUUUCUUUUGAUGGCUGCAUAGUAUUCCAUUGUGUAUAUAUACCACCUCUUCUUUAUCCAUUCAUCUGUUGAUGGACAUCUAGGUUCUUUCCAUAGUUUGGCUAUUGUGGACAUUGCUGCUAUAAACAUUCAGGUGCAUGUGCCCCUUUGGAUCACUACAUUUGUAUCUUUAGGGUAAAUACCCAAUAGUGCAAUGCUGGGUUAUAGGGCAGUUCUAUUUUCAACAUUUUGAGGAACCUCCAUGCUGUUUUCCAGAGUGGCUGCACCAGCUUGCAUUCCCACCAACAGUGUAGGAGGGUUCCCCUUUCUCCGCAUCCUCGCCAGCAUCUGUCAUUUCCUGACUUGUUGAUUUUAGCCAUUCUGACUGGUGUGAGGUGAUAUCUCAUUGUGGUUUUGAUUUGUAUUUCCCUGAUGCCGAGUGAUAUGGAGCACUUUUUCAUGUGUCUGUUGGCCAUCUGGAUGUCUUCUUUGCAGAAAUAUCUGUUCAUGUCCUCUGCCCAUUUCUUGAUUGGAUUAUUUGUUCUUUGGGUGUUGAGUUUGCUAAGUUCUUUAUAGAUUCAGGACACUAGUCCUUUAUCUGAUAUGUCAUUUGCAAAUAUCUUCUCCCAUUCUGUCAGUUGUCUUUUGAUUUUGUUAACUGUUUCCUUUGCUGUGCAAAAGCUUUUGAUCUUUGACCUCAGCCGCAGCAACAUCUUCCUAGGAACAACGCCAAAGGCAAGGGAAGCAAGGGCAAAAAUGAACUAUUGGGAUUUCAUCAAGAUCACAUGUUCAUAUUUUGAAGUCUUUCCCCCUAACCCACUAAAAAGUAAGAAUAUUCCCUUUUGUUUCCUUUCUCUCCAUGCGGUAACUGGCCAUAAGAUAUAUACUCUAUCCAUGAUUAUUUAUGGCCAGAGAAGUCCCUUGUACAGAGUUCUUUGGAUCUGACCACCCCUGAAGACAUAGAGUAAUUUAUACAAUGGUUUAUGAAGAAAACUGCAGCUUGGCUUUUUGGGUUUUUUUUUUUUUUUUUUUAGGUUGGGGGUUUUUUUUUUUUUUUUUCCCGUGGCUGAAGAGGCAGGAAAUUGAGCAGCAGGGGCCUAACUCUUAUGGAAACUCCACCCUGUGUACUGGCAUGAUGGUAAUUUUGCCAAGUCUACUUUCUGGGACUAGCCCAAACCUGUCAAGUUCUCACUUGAAAAACUUGCAGAUGCAUCCACCACAUAUUUAUGAACUCACAUUCAUAUGCAAAGAAGUUGCUACUGAGAUGAGACACCUCAUCAGGAAGGCUUACAACUGAGUUGUUUUUAUGAUGACAGAUUUACUCGGAUUUGCCUUCAGCCUCUCAUCUGGUCCUCCAGGACCAUGGCCAUACAUGUGCAGAGUACCUGUCUGGGUUCCGAAAACAGUCUGGCCCUCAGGACAUGUACGCUGUCACCUACAUGUCAAAACUAUAACCUAGGCCUCACUAACACAAUCCAGUCUCCUGAGCUAAACAACCACAGGUAUGCAAACCCAGUGGGCUUUGGAAGUGAAACAGGUGCACAUGCAUUGUGGUAAGGAUUUCCAUUGUGCUCAGAGCUAAAAAUUUAGAUGCAGUCAUUAAAUAUUUGAGCUAGGAGGAGUCACUGAAACCACCCACACACAAAAUAAAUAGGUCAAUACAUAAUCCAGACAGACCAGAAGAGAAUUUUUUUAAAAAAGGGAAAAUUUGUCAAGAAAUGUGUUUAGUAGGAAGAUGAGUUCGGCAGCAAGGACUGUGUGUGAUUUGAGAAAAGCUAAGCAGCAAUUUCUGGGUUUUGUCCUAAGGACAGGAUCUAGUCUGAUCCAGUAAAGCUAUGAAGGUCUUUCCCACAGAGGUGAGAAAAUACAAUUUUUGACCCUAAUUCCAAUUCUUUGAUUCAGGGUAAAAGAAAUACUAAAUACUAAAAGAAAUGCCACCAAAUUAUAAUCAUAAUUUUCUUCUCAAGUGAGUUGACUCCAAUUGACAUUUAUCAGCUUAUAGGUCAGCACAAAUGUUUUUAUAAUGAGCCAUAAAAGGAGGAAAGUAUAGUCUAGACCGGCACUCAAAAAGCCUGCUGCUUUCUUUCAGCAACUCAACGGAGUCUGACUCACAAUAACUGACUGGCCCAAACUGAUAAUAUCAGGUCCCUGACAUGCUAAGGGGGCAGGAUCUUACUUUUGAAGUGGUGUAAGUUCUUGUAACAAUGAGCAAUGUGUACUUCAGGGCUGGGUGGUCUGGGCCACUGAGUGGCUCCCACAGAAUUGCUUGUGCCUUUCACUCUAU